GACGAACGCUGGCGGCGUGCCUAACACAUGCAAGUCGAACGGAAAGGCCCUGCUUUUGUGGGGUGCUCGAGUGGCGAACGGGUGAGUGACACGUGUGUAACCUGCCCUUGUCUUUGGGAUAACUUCAGGGAACUGGGGCUCAAACCGGAUAGGAUCUCCUGCUGCAUGGGGUGGGUUGGAAAGUUUCGGCGGUUGGGGAUGGACUCGCGGGUUAUCAGCUUGUUGGUGGGGUAGUGGAUUACGAAGGCUUUGACGGGUAGCCGGCCUGAGAGGGUGACCGGCCACAUGGGGCCUGAGAUAGGGCCCAGACUGCUACGGGAGGCAGCAGUGGAGAGUAUGGCACAAUGGGCGGAAGCCUGAUGCAGCAACGUCGCGUGCGGGAUGACGGCCUUCGGGUUGUAAACCGCUUUCGCCUGUGACGAAGCGUGAGUGACGGUAAUGGGUAAAGAAGCACCGGCUAACUACGUG
This 468-nucleotide ribosomal RNA is filed under the name uncultured bacterium. RNAcentral's name for it is "partial 16S ribosomal RNA". It matches the Rfam family "Bacterial small subunit ribosomal RNA", at positions 28 to 507 of the family's 1533-position model. The record is from RNAcentral.